CCGAGUGAAAACUCCCAACCCCAUGUGAACAUACCUUUUGUUGCUUCGGCGGGUUCGCCCCGGGCGCCUCUGGUGCCCCGGACCCAGGCGCCCGCCGGAGGACCUAAACUAUUGUCUUCAGUGGAAUUCUCUGAGUGGCUCUUGAGCAAAUAAAUCA
This 157-nucleotide unclassified non-coding RNA is filed under the name uncultured Hypocreales. RNAcentral describes it as "sequence contains ITS1". The record is from RNAcentral. Lineage: Eukaryota; Fungi; Ascomycota; Sordariomycetes; Hypocreales.